GACCGCGACCCCAGGUCAGGCGGGACUACCCGC
This 33-nucleotide ribosomal RNA is filed under the name Veronica persica (birdeye speedwell). Its description in RNAcentral is "partial 26S ribosomal RNA". The record is from RNAcentral. Lineage: Eukaryota; Viridiplantae; Streptophyta; Magnoliopsida; Lamiales; Plantaginaceae. RNAcentral also lists the same sequence under 3 other names.